Molecule: long non-coding RNA, 942 nt
Organism: Solanum pennellii
Lineage: Eukaryota; Viridiplantae; Streptophyta; Magnoliopsida; Solanales; Solanaceae
Exons: 2
Source: RefSeq, a predicted model, not a curated record
CCACAAACACGCUUCUUCCCUGCACCUACAACGCCCCAACGUCUUCUUCUUUUUCGGAAAAAAAGGGGAUGCACCUCACUUUUUCUCCUCCUUCCCCGGGCGUCUGCAUGCUGCGCGCUCACCUUCCCCAUGCUCCUAAUUCGUCCUCUCGCAUCAAUCGCCCAUCAUCCGCUUCCAAAGAAAGGACCAUGGACCGCCGAAAAACAAUAAUGUCCGAUGGUCUCCAAUGUCACCUCUUCCUCCAUCCACCGUCCAUCAAUCACAACCUUUUUUUAUAUCAACUUUACAUCUUUUUUGAUUUAUUUCUAACCCAAAACAUGCCUAGAAGUCUCAGUAAUCAUCAUUGCUCCGCCUAAAAGCGGGGGAUGCGAAGAACAAUCGUAUUUUGAUUGGUUACGCCCUUAAUCUAAUGGGACUGAGGUUGGAAUCCUCCCCCAAAUUUAUCUAUAAAAGACCCCUUGGGUUCUCCAUCUAAAGGCAUCGGAAAAAAAAAAGAAAAGAUAUGAAAAAAUCCAGAAAAUGGGGACUAAAAUAACAUCACACACCAACCACAUCCAAAUAUAACCAACAAUGAUAGAGAAAAAUGAUUGAAAAAACUGCAACACUUCAAGGCUUUUAGAGUUUAAAUUGUCUCUCUUCUUGUCUUUCUGUUUUCGAUUUUGAAUUCAAGUUCGAGGAAUUUAAAAGUUUGAAUCUUCGACGUCUAAGCUCUAAUUUGCUGCUCAACACAAGGGCUGGAGUUUCUAUUUUGGAAUUCGUUAUUGGCCUAAAAUAUUAGACCAACCGCAAAUUAGAAUCACCGCAAUGCUUGGAGUCUCAUAAAUAGGAGUCUAAUGCUUUCUUAUCCUUUCUUUUGUUGCUUUAAUUAUAUUUGUUUUGAUAUGUUGACUGACCUUUACUCUUAAGUUUGAUAUAUUGAUUGUCUUUUAUUUUUGAAGUUUA